GAUGAACGCUGGCGGCGUGCCUAAUACAUGCAAGUCGAGCGAACAGAUGAGGAGCUUGCUCCUCUGACGUUAGCGGCGGACGGGUGAGUAACACGUGGAUAACCUACCUAUAAGACUGGGAUAACUUCGGGAAACCGGAGCUAAUACCGGAUAAUAUAUUGAACCGCAUGGUUCAAUAGUGAAAGACGGUUUUGCUGUCACUUACAGAUGUAUCCGCGCCGCAUUAGCUAGUUGGUAAGGUAACGGCUUACCAAGGCAACGAUGCGUAGCCGACCUGAGAGGGUGAUCGGCCACACUGGAACUGAGACACGGUCCAGACUCCUACGGGAGGCAGCAGUAGGGAAUCUUCCGCAAAGGGCGAAAGCCUGACGGAGCAACGCCGCGUGAGUGAUGAAGGUCUUCGGAUCGUAAAACUCUGUUAUUAGGGAAGAACAAAUGUGUAAGUAACUAUGCACGUCUUGACGGUACCUAAUCAGAAAGCCACGGCUAACUACGUG
This 497-nucleotide ribosomal RNA is filed under the name uncultured bacterium. RNAcentral's name for it is "partial 16S ribosomal RNA". It matches the Rfam family "Bacterial small subunit ribosomal RNA", at positions 28 to 507 of the family's 1533-position model. The record is from RNAcentral.